Molecule: ribosomal RNA, 499 nt
Filed under: uncultured bacterium
Lineage: Bacteria
Description: partial 16S ribosomal RNA
Rfam family: Bacterial small subunit ribosomal RNA
Source: RNAcentral
AUUGAACGCUGGCGGAAUGCUUUACACAUGCAAGUCGAACGGCAGCACGGACUUCGGUCUGGUGGCGAGUGGCGAACGGGUGAGUAAUGUAUCGGAACGUGCCCAGUCGUGGGGGAUAACGUAGUGAAAAUUACGCUAAUACCGCAUACGAUCUAUGGAUGAAAGCGGGGGAUCGCAAGACCUCGCGCGAUUGGAGCGGCCGAUAUCAGAUUGGGUAGUUGGUGGGGUAAAGGCCCACCAAGCCAACGAUCUGUAGCUGGUCUGAGAGGACGACCAGCCAAACUGGAACUGAGACACGGUCCAGACUCAUACGGGAGGCAGCAGUGGGGAAUUUUGGACAAUGGGCGAAAGCCUGAUCCAGCCAUUCCGCGUGCAGGAUGAAGGCCCUCGGGUUGUAACUGCUUUUGUACAGAACGAAAAGGUUUCUACUAAUACUAGGAGCUCAUGACGGUACUGUAAGAAUAAGCACCGGCUAACUACGUGCCAGCCGCCGCCGUAA